Non-coding RNA from Paralichthys olivaceus (Japanese flounder), 182 nucleotides. NCBI's taxonomy places the organism in Eukaryota, Metazoa, Chordata, Actinopteri, Pleuronectiformes, Paralichthyidae. The record is from RefSeq and is a predicted model, not a curated record.
GCUCGUUCUCCUGCAGGUUUGACCAAGACGCCUCUGUCCACGCUGGGACUGAAGCCGCAUCAUCAGGCCGGAUCAGACUCUGAUUCUAACGACGGAGAGCACGAUAAUCGCAGUUUUGAGGAUUCGAGACAGUUCAACGCUCCCUUCUGCUCCAGCAGCCCGGUCCACAGUGCUGACGGGUG